GGGUUUAGUUCUUAUAAGAGGAGUGGUGAAGAGAAAAGAAAAAAAAAAGAGAAAGAGAAAGGAGAGGUCUCGGUGGAAGAAAAGAAAGAGGAAAAGAGAGCUCUCGACGGAAGAAAAGAAAGGAGGAGGGAGAGCUUUUGGCUUCGACCUUGGAAGGAAGAACGAAGCCAAAGGGAUGCCCCACCGUUGCUCCUUGUCGUCACCUGUGCCAACACUAAGCCUCCGAGCAAGGCACCUCUUAAACCUUUUUCUUUCCACUCCUUUAAAUAAAGGAAAAGGAAAGCUACAGUGAAGGAAGGCGACAAGGAGGUGUGGGAUGGAUGUGUGAUGUCUGGACUAUGGAAGCCUUGGGACCUUGCUAAAGAAUUUAUUAAGAUUAACUCCUUAUUUAAGUUGAUAAGAAAAUUUUGGAAUCGGAUUUUCUAUUUCGUGCUGCUAGGGGAUUCAUUGAUGGGUUAACUAUUUUCCUUAUUGUUAGCUAAGGUUGCCUGGAAAUUUUAAUAUGAUACAGUCAUUACACUUGAAUUGCA
Molecule: long non-coding RNA, 530 nt
Organism: Zingiber officinale
Lineage: Eukaryota; Viridiplantae; Streptophyta; Magnoliopsida; Zingiberales; Zingiberaceae
Exons: 2
Source: RefSeq, a predicted model, not a curated record